RNAcentral lists this ribosomal RNA (253 nucleotides) under uncultured bacterium. RNAcentral describes it as "partial 16S ribosomal RNA". It matches the Rfam family "Bacterial small subunit ribosomal RNA", at positions 524 to 776 of the family's 1533-position model. The record is from RNAcentral.
UACAGAGGUCCCGAGCGUUGUUCGGAUUCACUGGGCGUAAAGCGCACGUAGGCGGCUUUCUAAGUCAGGGGUGAAAUCCUGGAGCUCAACUCCAGAACUGCCUUUGAUACUGGAGAGCUUGAGUCCGGGAGAGGUGAGUGGAACUCCGAGUGUAGAGGUGAAAUUCGUAGAUAUUCGGAAGAACACCAGUGGCGAAGGCGGCUCACUGGCCCGGUACUGACGCUGAGGUGCGAAAGCGUGGGGAGCAAACAGG